This 259-nucleotide ribosomal RNA is filed under the name uncultured soil bacterium. RNAcentral describes it as "partial 16S ribosomal RNA". It matches the Rfam family "Bacterial small subunit ribosomal RNA", at positions 26 to 285 of the family's 1533-position model. The record is from RNAcentral.
AGAUUGAACGCUGGCGGCAUGCUUUACACAUGCAAGUCGAACGGUAACAGGCCGCAAGGUGCUGACGAGUGGCGAACGGGUGAGUAAUGUAUCGGAACGUGCCCAGUCGCGGGGGAUAACGCAGCGAAAGCUGCGCUAAUACCGCAUACGAUCUAUGGAUAGAAGCGGGGGACCGUAAGGCCUCGGCGCGAUUGGAGCGGCCGAUAUCGAGAGUUAGGUAGGUUGGUAGGGGUAAAGGCUACACCAACGACCGAACGUA